This 73-nucleotide transfer RNA is filed under the name Gemmataceae bacterium. Its description in RNAcentral is "tRNA-Pro". It matches the Rfam family "tRNA". From Rfam's summary of the family: Transfer RNA (tRNA) molecules are approximately 80 nucleotides in length. Lineage: Bacteria; Pseudomonadati; Planctomycetota; Planctomycetia; Gemmatales; Gemmataceae. The record is from RNAcentral.
CUCUGAGUGGCGCAAUCGGCAGCGCGCCGGCUUCGGGAGCCGGAGAGUGCAGGUUCGAGUCCUGUCUCGGAGA